GGAUGUGACGAUGAUCUACUUGCAAUACCUAUGACCCCACUGAUAACCGGGACUGCCUGAUUUGACUAGCUAGGUGGGUGUCUCCUUUCCAUCCUUACUGCUUGGCAUUUGUCCCUCCCUAGGCCGCACACUGAAGUGAACCAUCUCCCCAGACAAAGAGUACCUACUUCUCUACCGUUAAGAGUAUUCCAAUCUACUCCCAUGCUAUAACCUUCAGCCAAGGCCUCGUGCAUACUGUACUCCGCUAGCACGGGGCUCCAGGAAAGCUUACAGAACAGCUUACAGCUGGGCUUCAUGUC
Molecule: small RNA, 299 nt
Filed under: Meriones unguiculatus (Mongolian gerbil)
Lineage: Eukaryota; Metazoa; Chordata; Mammalia; Rodentia; Muridae
Description: 7SK RNA (ENSMUGG00000010605.1)
Source: RNAcentral